This 6179-nucleotide unclassified non-coding RNA is filed under the name Trichogramma pretiosum. RNAcentral describes it as "j domain-containing protein DDB_G0295729, transcript variant X4". The record is from RNAcentral. Lineage: Eukaryota; Metazoa; Arthropoda; Insecta; Hymenoptera; Trichogrammatidae.
CAGCGACGUCAGUCGUGGCCUGGCCGUGCCGUGCACAACGCGACGCGCGCCCGACACUUAAUAUAAUAACAACCCGAGGAGCGCGCCCUGACACAUACAUAUAUUUGUAUUUGUGUAUAUAUGUAUCGUGCGUAUAAUACGACGACGACGAGCUUUGUGGAGUGUCACGAUACUGCAACUACUACUACUGUUGUUGUCAUAAUAUUAUAAAUAUAAUAACGUUAAACACGCGUUGUUGUUUCGCGAGGCUUUCGUUGAAUUGACAUCGUCGUCGUUGGACGCAGUGAUUCGACGUGCAAAAAGAAAAAAAAACAAGCGAGCAGCGCUUGAUAUAAAUAAAUAAAUGAAUAUAUGAAUGAAUAAAGCGAAGACGAGUGCGCGAAUCGCUAGAUAUCGUAUAUAUAUCGCGGGUGAACGACUGUGUGCUUCGUUUUUUUGUUUUUUGAGUUUUCUCGGUGUUGGUGUUUGUGCGCGUGUCAGUGGCUAAGCAGGAAUAAUACUACGUUCUACUGUUGUUAUUUUUAAUUUUUCAAUUUACUCAAACACACACGGAAAAUUAGACAAAACAUCUACCUGCGACGGCGAGAGGGCGAGUUGUGUACGCAUUGUGUAUAGCAGACGAAUAAUACACGGUGUGGUGUGUUAAAGGCUCGCGACUCUGCGGGCGCAGGACAUACACACCAUAAAAGCAACGGCAAAGGAUAGAGCGAGGGAGCCAAGAGAGGACGUCGUCGGCAGCAGCAGCAGCGUCGUCUGCUCCUCUGUGCACCCGCGUACAUACAUACAGAUAUUCAGCUUUGCUUUGCUCUCACACACACAUUCGUAGAAACAGGGUGGAAGCGCGCGCGCGAAAUACUCGCGCGCUCAGAGGGAACGACCUUUUUGCCUGUGUCUGUGUGUUAUACGUGCGCGGCUCACUGAAUUCGUGUGUAAAUUGUGCGCGUGUAUAAAUAUAUGAAGAAAAAAAACUGCUCACUGGCAGGUGCAGCAGCGUAUUAUAUAUCUAUAUAGUUGUGUGUAGUGUUUCUCUGUGUGUGCGUGAGUGUGUGUAUCCGUGUGCUUCCGGGGACUUUGCACCUCACUCGGCGGCUCGUAUACAUACACAACAGCAGCGAGCUGCGAAAUUUUCUCACACAAUUCCGUACAGAGAGAAUCGAGUGUGUGUUUGUGUGUGCGUGGAGGUGGGUUGUUUUGUUGAUGACCCAGGAUAACGACGAAGGAAGAGAAUAAGUGCAAAAAAAAGAAUAGAAGAAGAAGGUUUGAACUGACUCGACCGACCCCGAUGUUAUAGUAGUAAUUACGAAAAUAGAAGUCCAAGGUUACUCCCCGCAUAUAAGGGGAGAGAGAGACAGAGAGAUUGACAUAGGCCGCCACCCUCAACACAGUCUCCGUUGCUGCUGUCAUCGCCGUCGCUGCUACGAAAAAAAAAUACGAAAAUAAAAAUAUCAUAACCGUGUGUACAAGGGGAGAGAAGAGACAGAGACUCUCUGCGUAGACGAAAGUCGAAACACACACACAUACACAGCAGCAGAGCAGAGCAGAACGGCAGAGAAAGCGAGAGAGAGGCUGAGAGGGUGAAAGAGCCAGAGCAGGUCUCUGUGGCAUUCAAGCUCUCGCCUGCUGCUGCUGCUGCAAGGGAGAGAGAAGCACGGCGGUGUGGUGGCCGCGCGCGGGGGUCGCGUACUCUCUCGCUCUCUACGGCUGCUGCUGCUGAUCGAUAAGCUCUCCCUCCUCGUAGCGCUCCCACACACACAGAGAAGGAGCUUUCGUGCGUGUGCGUGUGUGUAGUGGCAGCAACAACGGGGGUGGCCGAUGCUGCUGCUGCUGCCGCCACCCGCUGCUGCUACUGCUACUGCUGCUGCGAGAGAGAGUAACGACGUCGUCGUCGUCGUCGUCUCUGGAGCCGUUGCCGCUGUUACCGCCGACAACGCCGCCGCUGUGCUGCAGCAGCGGCAGCAGCCAUGAGGCUCGUAGUCGAUGAUAAUAAUCGACUCGUCCUGGAGGAUACAAUGACAUGCUGCGAUCUUUGCUUAUUGUCGUCUUGAAGACGCUUUUCUGUUUUAUAGAGACACGAGAUUAUUAAAUUUAUCUAGGACUUGCGUGCGUAAAGGGGGUCAUAUCCUUUGCCUUUUUUUGCACCUAACAUGAAAGAACACAAAGAGUCGAAAUCGUCCGAGAUGCAUCAACAACAGCAGCAACAGCAACAAGCCGGCGGCGACACGAGCGGCGGCCCGGUCGUGUUGAAGAGCCUGCUGAAAAAACCCGGCCAGUCGUCGAGGGCCAAGGGCGCCGCCAAGAAUCGCGUCGUCAUCAACGAGAAGAUGAACGAGUUCUUCGCCGCCGAUUACAUAAUCCUCAUCAAGGAGGAGUGCUGCCCGGAUUACGAGGAGGAGUGCGACUGCUGCUGCCAGGAGCACGAGAUGAUACGCCUCGGAAAUUGCAAGGAGUGUCGGGCCGAGCUCGAUCUGCACUUCGAGGACGGCAGCCACGGGCCCGACGACGAAUGCGAGGACGACGAGGACGACGAGGACGAGGACAUGGAGGAGGACGAAGUCGAUGACGAUGGGGAAGACGAUAACGAUAUACAUCAUCAUCGUCAGCAGCAACAGCAACAACAGCAGCAUCACCAUCAUCAUCAGCAGCAGCAACAACAACAGUUGCAACAACAGCAACAGAAUGCCAUGAACAACAAGGCCAGUAGCGAGCAAGAGCAACGCGGCCGAAUCAAUCAGGCGCGCAGGCAGCAGCAGCGCGAGACCCUGAGCCCGCCCGAGGGCUACAAGGAUCUGUGCAUAGCCGCGCAGGCACGCCAGGAGAUGGAGGACGCCAUGGAGGAGGAGGCCGCCGCGGCUGCCCUCGCUCAACAGCAGCAACAGCAGCAGCAGGGCGGCCGGCCCGUCUGCGCCGAGUGCGACUAUUACCAGAGACAGGCUGCCACUGCAGAAUACGUGCGGAGAGUCUUGCACGAGCGGAGUUUAUUAUCCGACUACGCAAGGAGUCGAGGAGUCCCAGAUGUGCCAUCGAACGCCAACAAUGCGGAAGAUCAUCAUCAGCAGCAGCAUCAUCAGCAGCAGCAACCGCCCAGCGUGCCGUUACGCAACAACAGUAUUAAUCACGACGACGCGACGAGCAGCAGUCAUCAUCAGCAGCAGCAGCAGCAGCAGCAGCAGCAGAUGCACGAUAGUUGGCGCACGACGUCGCAAGACUCCACGGCUACGGAGGACUCGUCGUCGCUCCAAGGGCCGAUCGAUCAGAAUCAACAAACUACCCCAGACGUUCAGCAGCGUUACCUCGUGGAGACGAUCACGAUGACGACCGUGACGGAGCGUCGGAUCGUCCGCGAGAUCAGCGAGGAGGACAGCAAUCGCGUCGGCAGCCUCGAGGACUCGACGACGGCGAGCGACGGCACGAGUCGCCAGCCCUCGAUCGAGUCGCAAAAGUCCAUGGACGACUCGAAGGCGAGCAACGGCGGCCAAUCGAACGGUGGCGACUCGUCCAAAUCCUCGGACGACUCGUCCUCGGACAAGGACAAGCCGUCGGAUCUGUCGCUAGCGGUGAAGAUCGGCAGCGUCAACACCCUCGUCUCGAACAGCCUCAAGCCGAACUCGGCGGUGCGUCAGCUGUUCCCGGAUCCGCGCUUCAUCUCACCGCCGCCCGCGCCCGUCAAGAGCCUGUCCGCGGAUCUCGAGGACGCCCAGCUCGAGGACACGGUGGACGGCAAGUUCCUCGUGACCGCGGAGAGCCUCAAGCUCUUCGACGCCGUCAAGCGCACCAAGAUGGGCUCGAGCGGGCGCAGCGAGUCCUGCGACGUGGGCGGCGACUCGCAGUCGUCCAGCACCAGCAUCAAGCGCACCAUCGAGCGCAACGCCCUGCGGCGCAGCCUCAACUGCAAGUACGACUCGCUGCGACGCAAGAAUCUGCGCAGCAAGGAUCUGACCCUGGAGGAGAGGAUCAGGCAGCUGACCUGCGUGGACGACAACGAGACGGACAACGGUAGUGCCACGGAUACGACGAGCGGUGGCGGCGGAGGAAAUAAUCUAGCGAGCCUCGAGAACAACAACACGGGCCGCAUAACCCACCUGAAUCACAAUCACCAGCAUCACAAUCACAAUCAUCACGUGAUCAUGAACGGGGUCGGUGGCAUGAUUAACAACAUGAUGGAGGGCGUGGACCAUCUGCAUCUGCCGAUGCAGCUGCCAACGCGUACGUCGCCGUCGGGCGAGGAACGACCCAACAAAGGUCAUGUCAUGAUGCAGCAGCAGCAUCAGCAACAACAGCAACAGCAGCAGCAACCGCACCAUCAUCACCAUCACAAUCAUCACGGCACGUCGUCGUCGUCGGCCUAUCGGCGCAUCACCGAGAUGUUCGGCGGCCAGAAGAAAAACUCGUCGUCCGCGAACAACAGCGAUCUGAAUCUGCCCGACAUCAGCAAGCAGGUCGCCAGCUGCAACAAACAACAGCAGUCCAACAGCAACAACAAAGCCAACAAGCAGUUCCUCGCCAGUCUCGCGCCCCUGUCCUGCGUCUCGGCCAACAGCAUGGACGGCCGCGAGGACUACUACCAGCGGCUGCCCGUUCGCAUGCAGCAGCACCAGCAGCAUCAGCAUCAGCACCAGCACCAACAGCAACAGCAGCCGGGCGAUCGCAACUCCAUCUCGCACAACUCGGACUCGUCCUACAGCCUCGAGGACAUCGAGGACGCCCUCAACGACGGGAUCCCGGCGCCGCCCGACGUCACCCGAGGCACACCGACGUCGGCUGGCCCGUCGAUGGAGGCUUUCGGUGGCGCCGGGGCCGGUGGCAACGACGCCAGCGACGAGCUGCAGGCCUUCGUGGAGCAGGACAAGUCGAGAAUCGAGCGGAUCAAGCGACGCUACGAGUCCGAGGACAGUCGUGCUAAUAGCUCCUCCGAGCAGCAGCACGACAACAGCAAAAACAAGAGCAGCACGACCGAGGACGACGACGAGGACGACGAGCUCAACGAUUACGGCUUCAAUCGACGGCCCUCGGUGCGCGGCAUCAAGGCCCAGUUCAAGACGACCAACGAGAUCGUGCACCAGCUGAGGACGCGUAGUGCCGCCGCCAACUCGCUGCCCGAGGCCUGUCGUUUGGGCUUCCCCGGUGGAAACCAACAGCAGCAGCAGCAGCAGGACGACGCGAUGAGCACCUCGUCGGCGGCCUCGGACAUCUACCGGGUGACCUACACCAACGACGUGCACGCCGACCCCUCGACCAUCACGCGCAUCAACAACAUGCAGAAGCAGAUCAACGAGAUCUACCAGAGCAUCGCCGAGAGCAGCAUCAGCAGCGUGCUGCUCGAGCAGCAGAAGCAGAUGGCCGGGGCCGGGCCCAUACCGUAUCUCGACGGCACCCUGCCGCGCACCAUGAGCGCCUCGACGCAGGCCGCGAUCGAUCAUCGCAACAACGUCGCCGCCGCGGCUGCUGCCGGUGGAGGCGGCGGCGGUACGAUGCUGAAUCAGGCGCGAAUGCUGCGCAUCGCCGGCGGUGGCGAGGUGCUGCCCGCCUCGAGCACGCCCCCGGGCGUCUACAGCACCCUGCCCAAGGCGCAUCGGGCCCAUCCGGGCCAGAUUCAGACGUCGUACGCCGCGGCGGGCACCUACUCGUGCAUCGUGCCCCAGGCUCAGGCCGCGAUCAACAACGGCCAGGCGGGGGCUCAAGCCGCGGCAGCGGGUUCCAAGUGCUACAGGACCAUGUACGUCGUUCCGUACAACGGCAACGCUCCGCAAGAUCCGACCUAUCAGAAUCUGCAGAGGAUCGGCAUGACUCAGCAGCAGCAGCAGCAACAGCAGGCAAUCGGUUAUUCCGAGCAACAGCAGCAGCAGCUCGAGAGGUAUCCUUACGCGAGGAACGGCAGGAUCGAGGCACCGACGUCGCAGCAACAGCAACAGCUACAGCAGCAGCAGAGAUAUUACGUGUCCAAUAACAGGCCAGCGACGAUACCGAGAUGUAGUCACGGCCAUAUAGUCGAUUGGCCCGUUACGGAAAGUCAGAUGUAUUGAUGAGAAUUAAGAAAGAGAGAAAAUUACGCGGGAGAAAAAGAGGGAAGGGUAUUAUAGACACUGAUGAUAAAUGAACACUCAAACUACGUCAGCGGCGCUUCACCUUCACCUCCAUCAAGCCGAGGAGUUUCAAGUCUCGUCUUCCGCGGCCACCGGUCG